This 148-nucleotide non-coding RNA is filed under the name Homo sapiens (human). Lineage: Eukaryota; Metazoa; Chordata; Mammalia; Primates; Hominidae. The record is from Rfam by way of RNAcentral.
GCCAGGCAUGGUGGCGCAUGCCUGUAGUCCCAGCUACUCGGGAGGCUGAGGCAGGAGAAUCGCUUGAACCCAGGAGGCGGAGGUUGCAGUGAGCCAGUAUCGUGCCACUGCACUCCAACCUGGGCAACAGAGUGAGACUCCGUCUCAA